RNAcentral lists this long non-coding RNA (5867 nucleotides) under Malus domestica (apple). RNAcentral describes it as "long non-coding RNA (MDOM_LNC004156)". The record is from RNAcentral. Lineage: Eukaryota; Viridiplantae; Streptophyta; Magnoliopsida; Rosales; Rosaceae.
UGCUCCGAGGACGUACUCCAGUUACACUGACUGUGGAGGAACCUCGUUAAAAUCUUGGUGUUAUUUUCUAUAUUGUUCUUGCAUUUUCAUUUGAUAAAUUUCCUGUGGGUUAGAUUGAGUUGGUUCCAUAAGGUUUGGUGCUAUCCUAGCACAACAAUUGGUAUCAGAGCACUGGUUGCUCUUGGGUACUGUCUAGUUGCCAAAGAUGUCAGACGGGCAAGAUGAAAAUCCUUUUGGAAGCAGCUCCGGGUUUGCAAGAACGACGGUGCAAAAUGCAAAGUUCGAAGUGGAAAAGUUUGAUGGCACAAACAACUUCGGGAUGUGGCAAUGUGAGGUCAAAGAUGUGUUGGCUCAACAAGAUCUACUUGCCGCUUUGGGAGAGAAGCCGGAAACUAUGUCGAAGCCGGAAUGGGAAAAAUUAAAUUUGUGGGCUUGCUCUUCAAUUCGGUUGUGCCUUGCAAAAACUCAGAAGUAUUUUGUGAUGCGGGAGACGGUAGCAAGUGUGUUGUGGCAAAAAUUGGAAGACAAGUAUAUGACGAAGAGUGCAGAGAACCGGCUACACUUGAAGAAAAAAGCUAUACCGCUUCCAAUACAAAGAAGGUACAAAAAUGAUUAGACACCUUGAUGCUUUUAAUAAGUUGAUUGCCGACUUGUUAAAUUUAGAUGAGGAUAUUAAGGAUGAAGAUAAGGCCUUAAUAUUGUUGAAUUCCUUGCCGGACUCUUAUGAGCAUUUUGUUACCACUAUUAUGCAUGGUAAAGAAACUGUGAAAUUUGAAGAUGUGUCAAAUGCCUUGAUGAAUUAUGAAAUGAGGCAUAGAGAUAAAAAUCAUGAUAGUACCUCUGAAGCUUUAUUUGUUAGAGGUAGAUCAUCGGAGAGGAAGUCAUCUUCUAGUAGAAAAAAAUCACACUCUCGACCUAGAGGAAACUCUAAAGGUAGAAAAACCUUGGAAAGAGAUGAAUGUGCCUUUUGUCAUAAUAAGGGUCAUUGGAAGAAGAAAGAUUGUCCUAAGUUGAAGACCAAAGGAAAAGAGAAGUUCUGAAGCCAAUGUUGCUGAGGUUGAAACAGAUGUUUUUGAUUUUGCUUUAACCACUUCCUCAUCAUUUGAUUGUGCUACUAAAUGGGUGUUGGAUACGGGUUGUACUCAUCAUAUGACUCCUCACAAGGAUUGGUUUUCAAGCUUGAAAGAGUUUGAUGGUGGCGUUGUGUUCAUGGGAGAUGACAAUCCUUGCACAACAAAAGGGAUUGGUACAGUUCGUUUGAAGUUGCAUGAUGGCAUGGUUAAAGAGUUGACAGGUGUUCGGUAUGUACCGAAUUUGAAGAAAAAUCUUAUUUCUUUGGGUACUUUGGAAUCCAAGGGUUUCAGGUUUCAUUCAGAUGGACAUACAUUGAAAGUUACUUAUGGUGCACUUGUUGUGAUGAAAGCUCCUAGAUGUGGCCAUUUGUAUUUAUUGCAGGGAAGCACUGUGACAGGUGAAGCAUCUGUAGUCUCUGAAAAUAUGGGCACAUCUGAUUCAGAUACUACUAGAUUGUGGCAUAUGAGAUUAGGCCAUGCCGGUGAGAAAGCUCUACAAGGGCUUGUGAAAAAAGGUCUUCUAAAAGGUGCCACGACCUGUAAGCUUGAUUUCUGCGAGCAUUGUGUCUUGGGGAAACAAACUAGAGUGAAGUUUGGUACUGCUGUACAUCAGACGAAGGGCAUUCUUGAUUAUGUGCAUUCGGAUGUUUGGGGUCCUACAAAGACUCCCUCUUUGAGUGGUAGACAUUGGUUCGUGACCUUUGUUGAUGAUUAUUCAAGAAGGUCUUGGGUCUACACUAUGAAGCACAAGAGUGAGGUGUUAAGCAUUUUCUUGGGUUGGAAGAAAAUGGUUGAGAACCAGACUGGGAGAAAGAUUAAGAUUUUGAGAUCGGAUAAUGGUGGUGAAUACACAUCCGAUCCUUUCUUUAAAGUUUGCAAAGAAGAAGGAAUUGUGAGACAUUUCAGUGUUCGGGGAACUCCAACUCCAACAAAAUGGAGUUGCAGAAAGAUUGAAUCGAACCUUGCUUGAGAAGGUUAGAUGUAUGUUGUCUCAGUCGGGUUUGAGCAAGUCGUUUUGGGCAGAAGCAGUUAAUUAUGCAUGUCACAUCAUCAACCGGUUACCCUCAGCUGCUAUUCAGGGUAAGACACCAAUGGAGGUAUGGACUGGAAAACCUUCUUCUGAUUAUGACUAUAUCCGUAUUUUUGGUUCACCUGCUUAUUUUCAUGUGACUGAAAAUAAACUUGAUCCUAGAGCCAAAAAGGCUAUCUUUCUUGGUUUUAGUAGUGGUGUCAAAGGUUACAGGUUGUGGUGUCCAGAGAUGAAGAAACUGGUAAUUAGUAGAGAUGUGACAUUUGACGAAGAAAGUAUGUACAAAGUCUCUGAGAAGAAUGUGAAAGAUGUCCAACAGGUGGAGCUUGAGAAAGUUGCCUCUGGUACUUCAAAUCCUAUUUCCGCUGAUGUCGAAGCCACUACAAGUGAAGAAGUGGGAGACCAUGAGGAUGUUGAAGAAGUUGAACUUGAAGAUUCUAUUCAAGUUGAAGAGCAAGUUUCACCUCAAGAGUCUAUUGCCAAGAACAGAGGAAAGAGACAAAUUACUAAGCCAGCUCGGUAUAGUGAUUAUGUUGCUUUUGCUCUUCCUAUUAUCACUGAAGAGAUUCCAUCCAAUUUUGAGGAAGCUAUUGAGAGUGAGGAGAAGAAUAGGUGGUGCAAUGCCAUGGGUGAUGAGAUGAAUUCUCUCUUGAAGAACAAGACUUGGGAGUUAGCUAAAUUGCCUAAGGGCAAGAAAGCUAUUGGUUGCAAAUGGGUGUAUGCCAAGAAGGAAGAUGCUGAUGAGAAAAGCAAUGUGAGAUUUAAAGCAAGAUUAGUUGCUAAAGGGUAUGCACAAAAGGAGGGCAUUGACUACAAUGAAAUAUUUUCUCCAGUUGUGAAACACUCCUCAAUUCGUAUUAUGUUAGCUCUUGUUGCACAAUAUGAUCUUGAGCUUGUGCAACUCGAUGUGAAGACGGCUUUCCUACAUGGUGAUUUGAAUGAAGAGAUUUAUAUGUGUCAACCGGAUGGGUAUGUAGUGAAAGGGAAGGAGAAUUUGUUUUGCAAAUUGAAGAAAUCACUAUAUGGCUUGAAGCAAUCUCCAAGACAAUGGUAUUUGAGGUUUGAUAAAUUUAUGAGAGGCCAAAAUUAUUCUAGAAGUCAAUAUGAUCAUUGUGUGUACUUCAAGAAGUUGCAAGAUGGGUCUUUCAUUUAUUUAUUGAUAUAUGUUGAUGAUAUGUUGAUUGCUUCAAAGAAUGUUGAAGAGAUUGAGAAAUUGAAGAAACAAAUGAAGAAUGAGUUUGAGAUGAAGGAUCUUGGUGAAGCGAAGAAGAUCCUUGGCAUGGAGAUCACUAGAGAUAGAGAGAAGGGUUUGGUCAGUUUGAAUCAAAGACAAUACCUUGAGAAGUUGAUUCGGAAGUUUGGAGUUCAUGAUUCAACCAAACCGGUUAGUACUCCUUUAGCUCCUCAUUUUAAAUUGAGUUCUCUACAAUGUCCUAAAAAUGAUAAAGAGAAGCUGCAAAUGAAAAAUAUACCAUAUGCAAAUUUGGUUGGUAGUUUGAUGUAUGCAAUGGUAUGCUCUAGACCGGAUAUUGCUCAUGCAGUUGGCAUGGUGAGUCGAUAUAUGCAUAAUCCAGGUAAAGAGCACUGGCAAGCAGCUAAGUGGAUAUUGAGAUAUCUCCAUGGUACUCGAAAUGUUGGUUUAUGCUUUGAGAGAGAUGACUCUGGUAUUGGUCAUUUUGCAGUUGGUUAUGUUGAUUCAGAUUAUGCAGGUGAUCUGGAUGGAAGGAAGUCUACUACAGGCUAUGUGUUUACUAUGGCUAAAGGACCAGUUUGUUGGAGGUCCAUUUUGCAGUCGUCUGUUGCCUUGUCUACUACAGAGGCUGAAUAUAUGGCAGUUGCUGAAGCUAUAAAGGAGGCCAUUUGGAUACAUGGGCUGAGAGAUUUGGGGGUUGAUCAGAAGCAAGUGGAGGUGCAUUGUGAUAGUCAGAGUGCCAUUUAUUUGGCUAAGUAUCAGGUUCAUCAUGCGAGGACCAAGCACAUAGAUGUGCGUUAUCACUUUGUUCGUGAAGUAGUUGGUGAAGGGGAGAUCAUUCUCCAGAAGAUUCCAACUAAAGACAACCCCGCUGAUAUGUUGACUAAGGUUGUUGGUGUAGCCAAGUUUAUUCAUUGCUUGAACUUGGCUCACAUUUUGCCUAUAUAAAGAAGGCGUUGAGCAGUAGGAGUUUUGAAGCAUUUUGGCUUAUCAUGGCGUCUUUCGGAACUUGGCCAAGGUGGAGAUUGUUGAAUAAUUGGCCAAGUGCCAAAUGGACAAAUGUCCAAAUGAACUUUCGGCUAAAAAAAAAAUUAUAAAGAAAAAGGUGGACAACCUUUCCUUGUUUUAGGGAAGAAAAAUGGGAAAAGUUUUCUUUCUUUUUACCACCCGUGACUUAUGGUUCUUAAUAAGUGUUUUGGUUGCUUUUGUGUGUGGGGUGCAUCCGAAAAGAGUGAAGGGAAAGAAGCAGAGAGCUCAUUUUCGGUUUGGAGAAGAAAACAGAGAGAAGAAAGAGCUCCUUUUGCAGAGAGCAAGGGAGAGUUGCAGAGAGCCUAAAACAGAAGAAGAAGUUGUUGCUUCAUUUGAUUAGUAAUCAUCAACCAAAGUAAUUGUUGUUGUAAUAGCUUUGAGCUAUAUGUAUAGAGAAGAAAUUAUUCAUUAUAUUUUCUUCUCUGUUUGUUUCUUUGGUAUGUGAGAGCUAUUGGGUGUAUUGGGUUAUUUGGGUUGUGAGAUUGCCAACACUUUGUAAACUCCCAUUUGGUUGAUAGUGGAUUAUUGGGUGAGCUCCUACUGCUCCGAGGACGUACUCCAGUUACACUGACUGUGGAGGAACCUCGUUAAAAUCUUGGUGUUAUUUUCUAUAUUGUUCUUGCAUUUUCAUUUGAUAAAUUUCAUGUGGGUUAGAUUGAGUUGGUUCCAUAAGGUUUGGUGCUAUCCUAGCACAACAAUAUAUAUACUACCAACAUUUUAGAAUAAUUACAUACAAGUAAAAUUAAUCCAAAAUACUAAUUAACUACUAUGAUCAUAAAUUGUCUACAUUAUUUCAUGCAUAGUCGAUAAGUGUAAUAAUAUUUAGUAAGAAAAUGUUGUAUUGUUAGACUUUGGUGAUUAUAGAAAGUCAGCACAUACCUGGACUGCAUAUCUUCCAUGCAUCUGUAUCGCUCCUAGGGCUUCCAAACGACGAGUAAUGUCCACCCAUUGACGACGUAGAAUGGCGGGCGCUAGCGCUAUUCGGCGUGGACGCGGGGCUCGGUGAAAACUGGCGGUUGACGGCGAAGUAAAGGUCAAGAGCGGGCAAGGUAGCGCUCAACCUCUGACCCUCCUCCUCAUUGAACCCAAACCCUAGCUCAAUGCACCCUUUGAGCUCAUGCAAAUCCUCGUCGGUCAGAUGCAUGUCAUCGGAGUCUCUGAUCCCAUUCAUCCUCCUCUCCUGGCUGAGAAUCUGGCGCUGCCGCCUCUCCCACGCGAUGUCCCUAGGCGUCUCGCACAUGGACAACUGCUUGCUCAAGCGCUUCCGGCUCAACGUCUUGGGCGGUGCCAGCGGCAUGUGUUGGAGCUCCUCCUCGGAGGACGAAAGGGACAAUAACGGCGACGAUGAUGACAUCUUCCGUCGGUGUAAGUUAUUGUCCUUCAUUUUAAAGUAACUAAUUAUUAAUUAAACAAAUUAACGUUGAGUUUGCUUAAUUAACCAAAUGCAUGCACGUAUGUACGCGGUGGUGUAGAGUAUGAAUGUAUGGUAUGACGUUUAUAUACGUGCGUGUGUGUAUAUACUCAAUCCCAAGGUGGUGAUGGU